RNAcentral lists this long non-coding RNA (7050 nucleotides) under Homo sapiens (human). Its description in RNAcentral is "HSALNT0346790". Lineage: Eukaryota; Metazoa; Chordata; Mammalia; Primates; Hominidae. The record is from RNAcentral.
GGGGUCAUCAGUAAGGCACUCAAUCACCUUAAUAUCCUGUGACACCCCUUAUAAGGCUGCUGUUAUGUUCUGGUGGUUGUCAGGAAUAAAUGUACAACAUUGCGUCUCUACAAGGGCACAGCUGCCACAUUGGGCAGCUCUGACCAUGUCUAAGGCCAUCCGGUUUUGCAGAACCAACUUCCUGAUCUGAUUGACUUCAUCAGUUAACAAAAAGGAGAGCAACUCGGGUGUAAUUCAGGGCCCAAACUGUGUGCUCUGCAAGGGCUGUAACUUGCAUUUCUACAGUAGCGACACCUGCUCUAGGGAUAGUUAUCGCUUAGGGGUAGAGUCACUAGGGGGCUUGCUGAACUCGUAAAAACCAGGAACAUAGCACCUUCCAGUUAGGUGGAUGACUAGGCAAUGUGGGAAACACAGUGGCAGGCACAGAAAGCCACCCCCAGGUACAACGUCCAGUCCAAUUGGCUGGUAGAUAUGGCCAUCCUGUGUCCCCACAGACCCAUAAACUCCCUGGGGGCAUAAAGUCCAUGAAGGUCCAGCCUUGGUAAGGCAACUUAUUCCACCACACCCUUGGUUUCGCGGCAUGUGUUAUGUUUGCACAAACCUCAGCAAUAAUCCCUCAGUGACUUUACCCCAGUGCUCCCCUAUACAUCAUGGUACCUGCAAUGGGGGCACCACAUGUUUUCCCGUUAGCCAGCCCCAUCCAUCAUGGACACUAUAAGUCAGCCAGUGGCAGGCUUGCCAUGGGUUUUGGGACGUCCCCCUAUCCAAAGCCCACCAUUGCAUUGUCUAUUGAACACCAAGUCUCUAGCCAUGUCCAGUUCUGCACAGAAGCUGGAUGCACGUUCCAGGGCAAGCUGCCUGCAGCUGCUGCUGAAAGGGUGGUGCAGAUACAACAGUUGAAGACAUUGGUCACCUCAGUGUAGGUGUGGGCCCAGAACAUGAUGCUGUUGGAGCAUGCCACCUAUGGCUGGAAUGACAAAGCAAGCACAGGUACUAACAGGGGUAAAUCAUGUCCCUCAGGCAAAAUACAGGCCAACUUUUCACCUCUCGAUAACAGUGCAGCCACCAAGGGCAUUUGCCCUGGGUGAUGAUACCACACCUUAUCAGCUCCCUGUGGUCCUUUUGGGUGCUGUACCCAUGCCAAACACACAGGGGAGCUUAUGCUAAGCCACACAGACAGUACACAUGCCCUCUGGAGGAGAGUCUCUUCCCUGGCCGUUCCCCUAUGCAUGGUUAAUUGUGGAGGCCACACAUUAAAUACCCAAGGAGUAACAUGUAAGUUAUACUGCAGCCCCUCCCCCCAGGGGGCUAUGAUAGCCAACCAUCUGCAAUGAGGUGCUUGGAGGGUCCAUGGCUAACACCAGGUUUUUCUGUUCCCCUGCCUUUAGGGGUACUGGGGCAGGCAAUAACAGAUUACUGUUCAACCCUGUACCUGGUUGGAGAAGGUUGUUCUUCCUCUCAUAGAUCUGGCCACAUGGCCUGGCCCUACAUGGGUCGAUGACUAACUAGCUAAUUCUGUAACUUCUAGGUAAUUAACCACAAAGUUAAGCCUUGAUAAAUUGCCUAGCUACUAGUACAGAUUACCACAGGUGUCAUCUCCUUGGUGAUCACAGUCCAUAUUGCCUUGAGUUCAACUUAUUAGCUACUUUAUUUACACCUGGUUUUAAACCAUAUUGUGUCAGUACUAGGCUGGACUGUAGCAGCAAUCCAGGCAGCAGCAGUACUCUGGCUAUACCUACCUGUAUACUAUGCCUCAUUAGGAAUGGGAGGAUGCCCUUCCUUAUGGUAAAGGCUCAGGGUCUAGAGGUGCCUCAGACCCCAUGACUUUAUCUUGCAUUAGGACUAUAGGCUUCAAGACCUAUUGUAAUUUUACUCCUAAGAGACCAGUACUCAGUGUACUCUGCUGCUCUAAGUAGGUGCCCCACUUCGCUAAAGUGGAUGUCUGUGCCUUCCCUAUCCAGGGGGUUGUUUCCCAUGAAUGCCCAAUCUCACAAUUACUAACUGCUUCUCUAUCAAGGAAUACUGGGGCUCAGCUCCCUUCCACAGCUGGGAACAAAAGCCUAUUGGCAUACUCAGGUGCUCUAUGCACUGCUAUAGGCCCUAACUGAAACUCUGUUGUCACAGGCACAUCUAGUUUAAAUGGGCACCUCUGGUCCACUACCCGUAUGGCUUGUGCCUGCUAAAUAGCCCGCUAGGCUACCAGAAAGACUGUCUCAGGAGCAUCAUCCCAAUCCCAGGCAAGAAGAACAUUGCCACUUCUAAAUCUGCAGGAGAAUCAGAGGUUAACAUGACAUCAUUAAUAAAAUAAUGACACGUGGUGGGGCUAUGAAUAUAGCCCUGCAGCAACACUGUGAAAGUCCAUUGUCACCCUCCCAUGAAAGCAAACUGUUCCUGCCUCUCUGGAACAAUGUCGACUGAGAGGAAUGCAUUGGUCAAUUCCACCACAUAGUGGCAUUGUCUCAGUUCUGUUGUCAAGAAGUUCAUCAAAUCCAUGAUAGAAGGUACAGAUACAUGCAGAAGGAGUAUUACUUUAUUCAGUUUCCGAUAAUCCACUGUUAUCUGCCAAAUCCCAUCAGGCUUUCUGACUGGCCAUAAUGGAAAAUGGUAGGGGCUAUGGAUGCCACACACUAUUUGCACCUCCUCUAACUUCUUAAUAGUCUCAGUUACCUCUGUAUUCCCCCCUGGCAAACGGUACUGAUGAGUGGAAGUAACCUGUCAGGGUUGUGGCAGAACUUGGGGCUGGUGAUGUGUAUGUUCACCCAGUACUGGCUUUACUGCAUGGACUCAGAAUCUGGAUUCUCUGGCCGUGGUGUGCAAGCCCAGACCAUGCAAAAUGUCCACCCCCAGAAUAUAUUCAGGUAUAGGAGAAACAUACACAGUGUACAGGUGGGGAGCCAAGCGGCCAAUGCCAAGAUGCAGAGACACAGGCUUCACCUUCACCGACUGGCUCCCAUAACCGUCCAUAAAUGCAGCUUUGCCUAGAAAUUUAUCUGGGUUCCCAUAAACUAGACUGCAGUCUGCACCAGUAUCUAUCAGUGCUAGGACCCGCGGUACAUUAGUGGGGGACCAGUGGAUUGCCAGCUCCACAUAUAGCCUCUGGUUGUCUAGUUCCCCCUGCCAAGCUGGCGACCUCGGCCAGUUCCCUAAUCAAACAAGAAAGGCUCUGUAUCUCUGCCUGUCUGCAAAUAGUCCUUGAGUUGCAGCGUCUGGGAGGGAUUAGGUUGAACAACAUUGUUUUGCCCCCCACACCUUAGGCAUUUUCUGGAAUUGCUGCUCCCGGGACAAUUGCCUUCACAGAGUCAACAACAUUCCAUUGGGUUGCCCGUCAAUUUUCUCCCGAGCAACCCCAGCUGCAAGUAAAUCAAUCCACAUCUGCAUGCAGGUCACCUCCUGGAGCCCCUUUUUAUCUGGUGGGGUGGUUAACUGCGGAUGAGGCAUUUUCUCCCUCCUUACGGUGCGGAUUCUCCGGUCCUGCGAAUGGCCUUCUGCCUCCCUGAGGGCUGCCAGAGCAGUAGUCACUUCAUGUAUGCGGCACCCCACAUACUGGGUGAGAACAGCGGCUAGAAAGCCAUAAGGGUUCGGGGUGCUGAACUCAGCACAAGAUCCCUCAUGUGGGAGGUAAAGCGUUCAUCAUCUGGCCCCAUGGUAAUCAGACCAAACAUAGCCUGCCGCAUACCUAUCUCCAAGAGUAUCUGCACCAAAUUAGUAUGUGAUUGCCAUUUACUCACAGUUUGUAGUAUCUCUCUGGCAUCAUUGAAAACAGUCCAUAUGACUGUCAUUAGCCACUUGAUUAAUGUGUGGCCACCUUGCUCUUGUGCCAACCGUUGGCACAGCUGCAGCUGCUGACGAAGGGAGGGGUGAGUUGUGAUAGAAGUCAGCUUCUCCAUCUCAGAGGCGGAACAAAAAAUGCUAUCAGCUCCCUCAGACGCUGCCGGCACUAUUUACCUAAUUCCCACAACUCACUGGGGUUAUAAGCAUAAUAAGAGGCGUGUUCCACCACUGUGGACGGGGUCCCUGGGCUUUCCCCUAGGGUCCCAUCAGCUGCUUAUGUUCUACCUUCUGACGGAUCACAGGAGGAGCCUGCAGCGGAGGAGCCUCCUCCUCCUCAGCAUCAGACCUAAAGGGAGUGUCCUGCCUGAAGGACCGGCUCAAGGUCGCACUAACAGCUCUUGCUAACUCCUGUUCCAGGCUGUUUAUCUGGGCCUCCAAGUACCCUGCUUGCGCCUGGAGGUCUCUCACCCCCAGGUCCUGCUCAAAGCUGUGCACUUGGGCCCCCAGGCAUGCGGCUUGCUCCGGAAGGUCCCUUACCUGUGGCACUGAGCAUGUACUUCCUGCAGUGCAGUUAGAAAUGCCCAUCCGACUCUGCUUGCAAAGACAUCUGCAAUGGCAGUUCACAUGGCUCAGAUAGCUCACUUCUGCAGAGAGCUGAAUUUAAGUGGGACAGGGUAGCAAGAAUAAUUACUUUGACAAUCAUUUUGCCACCUGAUGACUGUGCUGCCUGUCCUGAGCUGAGUGCAGAGAGGGAGACACCCUUACAAAUGGAGAUUUGCUGGAUAGAAAUGUGGCCAAAGAGUUCAAUAAAAGGUUCCUUUAUUUAUAGGCACAGCUGCUUAAAGACUGUUACCGGAAAGGAAUCCUGAUCCAGACGCCAAGAGAGGGUUCUUGGACUCAUGCAAGAAAGACUUCAGCUGGCUGCAGAUGACAGUGACACCCUGGGAGUUGAGAAAUGCUUGUAAGAUGGAAGGAGGCUGUGUCCCUGAAUGAUCACCUGGAAGAGAGCCACCUUAGCCAAUGAAACUCCUGCUAUGAAUGUUUGCUGAGCAAGAAAUAUACUUACUGCUUUAUAUGCCUUUGAAGCUAUAGGUUCAUAUUGUUACCACAAUUUAAAGUGCUAUAAUAAAAAGAGUUCAGGAAGCAGGCACAUGGAAGCAAUAAGAGCAACAAACAUUUACACAGUUCUCAGGUCCCUGGACCAUGAAGGGCCACAUCCAAGGAGCUACCCCAGGAGGCCUCUCAUUUGCAUUUGUCCCCGCUAAUGCAGGACAGAGAUCAUGGAAGUUGGGCCCGACUGGAUGAGAUUUGGGGGUCUUUGGAAGUGGAGAAUGUGUUUGCCCUGGGGAAGAGAGGUGAUGUCUAGGAGACCUCUUCACUCAGGGCAAGCUCUAUGACCUGCUUUGACUCCAGAAUGUGGUAGAAGUGGCAUCACAUAAAUUGCAGAGCCUAGGCUUCAAGAGACCUUGCAACUUGCCUCUCACUGACUUGAAGUGCUCCCAUCAGAGCAUCUUGUAAGGAGCAGGUGGAGCAUGUGGACAAGCCAUCCCCACCAGCCCCUGAGACAUGUGAGAGAGGCCAGAACAGGCCAUCCGGACCCCACUGUGCUGGUGGAUGAGACAGCAGAAGGAAUAUCAACCUACCAACAGAAUCCUGAGAAAUGCUCACUCUUACUUCAAGCUGCUGCAUUUUGAUGUUAUGAAACCAUAAAUAACUUAUGAAGUCAUCUUUGCUGACUUAAAGUUUUCCAUAACUUUAUUAUAACAUAUCAAAAUUAUGAAAAAUGUGAAAAGUAGAAAACUGAUGAAUUUUGCUUCUUCAUAUGGUCUUUAAGAAUCUCAAAGGCACUGAAGUUUUUUAUCUUUUCUGUCUUAGAAUAAAAAACCUUGAAUGAAAAUCUGCUUCUUGGAAAAGCAGCAAGGUUUAUGCAGAGGCAAUCUGGUAUUUGUGUGCACUGGCAGCUGAUCAUACCCAGCAUGCACGCACUCUCAGGGCAGAGUCUGAUGCCCCACAUAAUGGGGCAUGGUAAGGACUCCCAUGUCCUUGAGAUAAAAUGAUAAGGAAAAUACACACUGCUAUUAGAAUAACAGGCCCAGCUUCUGCACAUUUUAAUUCCCAAAGUUUUCAUGAAAGACAAUGAUUUUUUGGUACCAUGUUUAACUCUACAAGAAUCAGUAGUGAAAACUAAAAAUGAUACUUUGUGAAAGUUCAUUAAUUUUGUUUUCAGCCAGUGGUGGCCUUGGUCAGAUAGAAUCAAAUCUAUGAUACUUUUUAUCAGAAAUGCUUAUACUGUGUACAAACCCAAAGUGAUGGCUUUCAAAGAUUGAAUUUGAUUAUUUUCUGUAUGGUGCAGAUGAAAAAUUACUACACAGGAGAAGGUGGGUUGGAGGUGCUCACGAGUAACCAGGAAACAGUCUGAAGUUUUUCUGAUACUUCUCCUUGGUCCAACCAAAUGUGAGAUAUAAACACAAACUUGGGAUUCCGUUCUUAUGUUUUGGUUGUUUCAGUCUUUACAGAUGUAUCGAAAGGCUGUCCAAAAAUGUCUGACUUCUGUAGUGUGCCUUCGUAGCACUAGAGGGUUCUGCAGCUGUGAAACUGAAGGCAUUGGCAAGAAGCCCUCCAUCUUCAAACCACUUUCUGCUAAGGUGUGGCUCUAUAAAACCACUAUGAGCUGGGCUUCACUGAGACUGAGUUGUUUCAGUAGGAUCUUCCGGAAAAACAUGUUCCCUCCUUUACCUGGGUUGUCAUUCUGAGAACAAUCACACCUCCAAUUUUGGCUUACUAAGCAAUAGCGUUUUAAUGAUUUUAAGCCAGGAUUUGCUCCUCCUUUCCUCAGUAUGAGAGCUUAACCACUGGAGGAACCAAGAAUUCAUGCUGGUUGGGUUCUGAUUCCACUUUAACUUACUGUAUAGCCUCAUCCCUUGUUUUUCUGGAGAUUCUCUUUUUCUGCUUCACUGAUUUAUAUUUACAUUAAAAUCAAAUGAGGCCAUGUUUCUGAAAUCACAUUGUCCCUACAUGGUCAUUACAAUGAGUCUGUAAUGUGACUGAAAGACAGCCAUGGAUACAGGUAGAGGAUAUCAGGCAAUUGAAUGCUCAUCAAGCAUUCAAUUCAGGGCAAAUGGCAUAAGGUAUGCAGUUGGCCUCUUCUGAUAUCUGUGUCUUAAUCCUUUCUUUAGCCUCUGUUUUCUGGACCAAGGCUAAGAUAUUUUCUGGGCACAGUGGCUCAUGCCUAUAAUCCCAGCACUCUGGGAGGCCAAGGUGGGAGGAUUUCUUCAGCCC